This 441-nucleotide long non-coding RNA is filed under the name Helianthus annuus (common sunflower). The record is from RNAcentral. Lineage: Eukaryota; Viridiplantae; Streptophyta; Magnoliopsida; Asterales; Asteraceae.
AUGGUUUUUGGGUCAACAAAAGUUGGCGAGUGAACAUUAUUGUUUUUGGAAAAAUAAUAUGUUUAAUUUGAUUUAUUGUGAAAACGUGCGUUAACCAAUGUAAGUAAAUAUGUUGUAUGUCAUAUUUCAUAACUCAUAACAGAAUCUCAAACAAUAAACAAACCAACUAAAAUGAUUCAAUAAAUGCACGCACGUUGCACGGUAUUAUGGUGUGCCAAUGAAUGAAUGUAUGUUGCACGGUAUUAUGGUGUGCUGCAAGGUCUAAGCUCAAUCAAACGGAGCUGACCUCGUAUGGGUGGCAACGUCAAGUUCCACCCAUAGGUAAUGGGGAACCGACGAGCCUAUAAUGAUGUGAUGUCCAAAAUGAAUGAAAUGCACCAACAUGAUAAACAGUCAAACUACACAUAACAUAGAUACUCCACAUAAUGGUAAUUGCACGGA